Peromyscus leucopus (white-footed mouse) is the source of this 349-nucleotide long non-coding RNA. RefSeq lists it as uncharacterized. The record is from RefSeq and is a predicted model, not a curated record. NCBI's taxonomy places the organism in Eukaryota, Metazoa, Chordata, Mammalia, Rodentia, Cricetidae. The transcript is spliced from 3 exons.
UAUGGCAAGGCAGCUUAGAGGCGGGUAGGAAAAUCCAAGAGAGACAGGAAAGAGAAAGGCAGAGUCUGGAGAGACACAGCCUGCCGUCCAAGUAGUAACAUGCCAGCAGAUCGGUAAAGCCAGGGAACGUGGCAAAACAUAAAUUAAUAGAAAUGGGUUGAUUUGGGGCUGGAGAGAUGGUUCAGAGGUUAAGAGCACUAGGUGCUUAGACUUGUGUGUCUUGGCUAUAAUCUUUCGGAGGUUUUUUUAUUCUCCGAGGUCACCCCAACCGAAAUUUAAACUUAAGUUUUUAUGUGUUUAGUCCAGUAGGUGUGUUGAUUUAAAAUGUUAAGUUGAUCAGAAGAGCACU